ACUUUUCUACCUGGGCUUAGGGAGCAGCAUAAAGGUCUCGGGGCAAAUUGUGCCUCUCAUUCCUAGUCUACAAUGAUCUUGGGUAGUAUAGAGAAUGUCCUAAUGGGGUUCAGCAUACAGGUGAGAUUGUGACAGUGAUAUCCACACCCAACUGACAGUAAAAAUUGCCAUCUUUCCUCAUGAAUACAGCCCACUGUUGAGGUGUUGAAUCUCAUAACCAAAGGCAGUUGAAAAUUAAAACAUUGUCUCUCAUUGGUAGACCCAGUCCACAGUGGGGUUGGUGACUCUCAGACCAAAAUUCAGCACAGUUAUGAGGCCAUCACUCCACUAAGAAAACGGAAUUCACAGAACAAAUUGAGACUGUCAUGUACAAAUUCAGCCCACCACUGAGAUUGUGACUCAUUUACUUAGACCCAACAUAUAGGAAGUGUUGACUCUUAUACCUAGAAUUGGGACAUGUGUAAGAUUGUUCAUCUUUUCCUUAGACUUUCCUGCAGGAGUGAUGCUGACAUGUUCCUCUAUUUGGCAUCUGAGUGAUAUGACUCUUGCCAUGGUCUAGCCCACAGAUGGAAUUGUGAUGUGUUGCUGUACCCAGCACCUAGGUGAUGUGACUCCAUUUUUCUGCCUUGGCAUUGCUCACAAAAGUUUUUGCCCACAGGGGAGAUUGUGACAUAUCACUGGGCCUCAUACUAAGGUGAUGUUACACUUUCGUUUUUGAACUGUACUCAGAAGGCAUCGUGACAUAUUCCUGGGCCCAGCACCAAGGUGAUCUGAGUCUCCUGCCUGCACUUUGUCCACAAUUGGAUUGUAACAUAUCUUCAGACCUAUCAACUACUUGAUAUGACUUAUUUUUUUAAAGUGAAAGCAAGUUUAUUAGGGAAGUAAAUAAACAAAAGAAU
Molecule: long non-coding RNA, 899 nt
Filed under: Pan troglodytes (chimpanzee)
Lineage: Eukaryota; Metazoa; Chordata; Mammalia; Primates; Hominidae
Description: long non-coding RNA NONPTRT008051
Source: RNAcentral